Molecule: ribosomal RNA, 397 nt
Filed under: uncultured bacterium
Lineage: Bacteria
Description: partial 16S ribosomal RNA
Rfam family: Bacterial small subunit ribosomal RNA
Source: RNAcentral
AUACGUAGGGGGCGAGCGUUGUCCGGAAUGACUGGGCGUAAAGGGCGUGUAGGCGGUUGAAUAAGUCUGGAGUGAAAGUCCCGGUUUCAAGUUGGGAACUGCUUUGGAUACUGUUCAACUUGAGUGCGGAAGAGGUAAGUGGAAUUCCCAGUGUAGCGGUGAAAUGCGUAGAGAUUGGGAGGAACACCAGUGGCGAAGGCGACUUACUGGGCCGUAACUGACGCUGAGGCGCGAAAGCGUGGGGAGCGAACAGGAUUAGAUACCCUGGUAGUCCACGCGGUAAACGAUGAAUGCUAGGUGUUGCGGGUAUCGACCCCUGCAGUGCCGGAGUAAACACAAUAAGCAUUCCGCCUGGGGAGUACGGCCGCAAGGUUGAAACUCAAAUGAAUUGACGGGG